Molecule: long non-coding RNA, 564 nt
Filed under: Homo sapiens (human)
Lineage: Eukaryota; Metazoa; Chordata; Mammalia; Primates; Hominidae
Description: HSALNT0233735
Source: RNAcentral
CUAGCUUCAUCAAUGUCCAGCCUCCAGAGGGCCUUCCCAGGAGGGUAGGCAUUAAUGCAAGCAAGUGGUGGUCUGCAUAGCUGAGCAGAGUCUGCUGUGUUUCUGAUAAAUUGUGAAGAGCCAUAGACCUUUGCCUAAUACAAGGAACAACACAGAACCAAGCAAACGGGCUCCCCCAGGAUUGUUGUGGAACAUCUAUAGUUGAAUAUAAAAGUUUAUAUGUUCAAUUUUAUGGAGAAAAUAUCCUUUUUCAAAGGAAUUAAGAUUGAAAAUUACUGGGUUAUUUUUUACUGCCUAGGAUGGAAGCAAACAAAAAUAUGGAAAGAAAAUAUUUAACUCAUAGAAAUGCAGUCUAGAGGUUAGUUCAAACGACAGACUGUACCAAUAAGUGCAGAUGGGCAAGUAACAGAAUUCCUCUGGGAAAGAGGCAACAAUGUGUGACCUGCUGUCUACCCAGGUAACAAAGCUGCAUGUAACGUACGUUUAGGAAAUAUUUUGGUGUCUUUUAUUUUCCCUAUAUGAAAAGAGAAAUAUUUAGAGUGGGUAAGUACAGAGCCAUUACAU